Piliocolobus tephrosceles (Ugandan red Colobus) is the source of this 2304-nucleotide long non-coding RNA. RefSeq lists it as uncharacterized. Lineage: Eukaryota; Metazoa; Chordata; Mammalia; Primates; Cercopithecidae. The transcript is spliced from 2 exons. The record is from RefSeq and is a predicted model, not a curated record.
UCUCUGCGCAAUCAAAGAAAGCAGGGUGGCUGGAGCUCCCACUGUGGGUAAGAGGGACGGUGGUGCUGCCCCAGGCUGGGGAGGUAGGCAGGGGCUAGACCAGCAGGGCAUCGGGCAUUGCACUCCAGCCUGGGUGACAGAGCGAGACUCCAUCUCAAAAAUUAAAAAAAAAAAAGGAAAGGGAGUGGGGCCCUGUAACUGGACAAAAAUCGUGCAACUGACACUCUCCAUGCCCCAGCCAAGCCCUGGCCAACCUAGGAAAGUGGGUAUCAGGAAGCCUGAGGUCCAGGCUUGCACACACAUGAUGGAUUUUAGUUUUUACCAAAGAGCAACAAAGAACUUUGUUAAAAAUAAUGUCAGGCAGAGUUGGGGCCUGCAGUGUGAACAGAUUGGAGACAGCAAAAGUGGAUUAGGGGGCCUGUGAGGAGUCUAGGUGAGAGAUAAUAAAUACUGUCUUGGGCUAGUGGCUGUAUAAUAGGGCCAAGAGAGCAGAGUCAAGACAUAGUUCGGAAGUGAAAUUGACAGGACUUGGUGAUAAGCAGUAUAUGGAGUGAGGUAGGGAUGAAGGAGACCGUGUGUCCAAGGUGACUCUGAGGUUUGUGGUGGAUGGUGUUAGAGGAGCACUCAUUCCCCACUCCUCAUGUUUCCUGAUGGAGGGUCUUCUGUUGGCGUAACAGCCCUUCACUCCUUACAUGAUGGUGUGCUAGGGAGGAGGAUCUGGGCUGGGGCGGCUCAGUGCCUUCUGGUUUUUCGAAUCACCCCUGCCUGCCACGGACAGGUGAUCUGUCUGCUCUCUGGGCCACAUGGUGAGCUUGGUGGGGCCGGCUGUAUCCACCCCAUCCCCCUGAGAAGCCUGCAAUGUGGGAGGCAGUGUCAGCAAAGGGUGGCAUAGCCAGUCUGAUCAGGACCUGGAAACAGAAUAGAGGGUGUCAUUUUCUCUAGACCCUCCCAGCACCUAGAGGAUUUAUUUACCAAGGCAGGGAACACGGGAGGAAAAGCAGGCUUUGAGAGAGAAUAACCAUGAAUUCAACUUUGGAACCCUUUUCUGGCCACUUUGAUAUCUUAACUUUGACUUAAAUAUCCCGUGAAAUCAGUAUAUUUGCCCAUGUACACCUUUUUAAAAAAUUAAAAGGGGCAUUAACUAAUCAAAGUAAGAAUUUUCUAAAAUUUUGCUUUGGUAGGUCAGCCUGGACUUACAAAUCCAAGCCAGAGGGAGUCUCCUCAGAGAGGCAGUGACCUGGCUGCAUCCUGGGGGAUACUAACAGUAAUAACUACCAUCAUCAGGCACUUAACACACUUCCCAUACUGUGCUAAGAUGACCACGUGUAAUCUUUGCAGUACCCUACAAGAGACACUUUUAUUAUUCCUACUUUUCAGAUGGAGAAACUGAGGCCCAGAGAGGUUAAAUGAUCUCAGCAAGGCCAUCUAGCUAAUGAGAAGUGAAUCUAGGAUUCCAGAGCUCUUGCUCUUAAAUGCUAUGCUGAAAGACAAGAUGUGCUGGAAGAUUUUUGACCGACUGAAUGAAAAGCACUUUGCAGACAUCCUCCUCCACUCAUCUAACACGGAGGCAACCUGUCUGGUAAAGCCUCUCAAAUCCAGCCAGAAUCAUCUGGAAGAGUUUAGCAAGCUGGCAGGAAGGCCAGCCUGAAAUGGACUUAGCUGGGAUUCUGCCCGAGGCCCUCACAUUAGCUGUGCAAUGCAACCUCUGCCCAGAGUGCAAAACAGAAUGCUGCUGGAGCUGCUCAUGAAAUCACCUCGCUGUGGCCGCCACAUUGUCCCCAUUUGCUUUGGAAAGUAAUGCCAUUAUGAAAUAUGGUAUCCCCUGUAGUUCUGCAUCGGAAGCAGAGAGGGCACACGUGGACUCCCUCCCCAUUCCAGCAGGCAUGGUCUCAGUGCCCCUGCACCUGGGCCUCUGGCCAGGGGCCUCCAUAGCUGCCUGCAGGAGUGAGUGCACUGCAGUCCUGAGCACCUGGACUGAGCACCUGGCUGUAGCCCUCCACCCUUACCCUGUGCCUCCCUAAAGCCUCCUGUGUCAAAUGAAGUCAUUAUUAUCCCCACCUCGUGAGCCGUCACAAGAAUAAAUAAUUUAAUAUAUGCAAGAUGCUUGGCACCGACUGUUAUAAAACUCAAUGACAAUGAUAGUUUGCUUCAUCAUCAUCAUCAUCGUCAUCACAACCACCACCAUUCAGUACAUCAUGGUUUCCCACCUUUGCACUUUUAAAGAAGGAAAACCAACUGCCAUGUGUAAUAUGAUUUCUUUACUGCUUCGUGGAAACCAACUUUAAAUAAACUCACUUUUAAAAC